AUUUGCCAGACAACAGGUUUACACUUACACGUCCUCUCUCUCCAUUUUGUCCCGCUUGACUCUGUUCUUCGUUCCCUCUCGUGCCUGCACGUGGCCAGAGCCAGAGCAGAAAUUAUUGCACGUGCAGUAAUAAAUAUAGGGUUUCUUCGUAAAAUGGAUACUCACUCCUUAAAUAUAUGAAUUUAAUGGGAAUUUAGUAUGGAAAAUGGGAUUGAGAGACAUUGAUUUUGAACAGGGUGUGGAAUUGGUGCAAAAUGACUACUUUAUUACAGAGGAAAACGUGGGGAUGCUGAAGUUGGCAAAGGAAACCAAUUCAAUCCUGUUUGAUUACAGGGUCCCCUUGGAGACCUGCAGCGCUGGCGCUGCGGCCGCCAUGGAUAGUACUUUGAAAAUGAACGGCCUCCCAAUCAGUGUAUAUGCGCCGGAGACUGUCGGUUGUGUGGCCGUGGACAGCGAG
RNAcentral lists this unclassified non-coding RNA (457 nucleotides) under Hevea brasiliensis (rubber tree). The record is from RNAcentral. Lineage: Eukaryota; Viridiplantae; Streptophyta; Magnoliopsida; Malpighiales; Euphorbiaceae.